AAUUAGAUAGCCAUAAGGCAGCUUAAUUUCGACUUAAGCCAUGAUUAUGUAGUGAAGUUC
Molecule: transfer RNA, 60 nt
Filed under: Cyclosa argenteoalba
Lineage: Eukaryota; Metazoa; Arthropoda; Arachnida; Araneae; Araneidae
Description: tRNA-Arg
Source: RNAcentral